UACGGAGGGUGCGAGCGUUGUCCGGAAUCACUGGGCGUAAAGGGCGCGUAGGCGGCGCGGGUAGUCAUCGGUGAAAGUUCAGGGCUCAACUCUGAAUCGGCCGGUGAUACUCCCGUGCUCGAGCACUGUAGAGGCAGGUGGAAUUCCCGGUGUAGCGGUGGAAUGCGUAGAGAUCGGGAAGAACAUCAGUGGCGAAGGCGGUCUGCUGGGCCGUUGCUGACGCUGAGGCGCGACAGCGUGGGGAGCAAACAGG
This 253-nucleotide ribosomal RNA is filed under the name uncultured bacterium. RNAcentral describes it as "partial 16S ribosomal RNA". It matches the Rfam family "Bacterial small subunit ribosomal RNA", at positions 524 to 776 of the family's 1533-position model. The record is from RNAcentral.